Molecule: ribosomal RNA, 446 nt
Filed under: uncultured Thiobacillus sp.
Lineage: Bacteria; Pseudomonadati; Pseudomonadota; Betaproteobacteria; Nitrosomonadales; Thiobacillaceae
Description: bacterial SSU rRNA
Rfam family: Bacterial small subunit ribosomal RNA
Source: RNAcentral
UGGAUGAUGUGGAUUAAUUCGAUGCAACGCGAAGAACCUUACUACCCUUGACAUGUCCGGAACUUGCCAGAGAUGGCUUGGGUGCCCGAAAGGGAAUCGGAACACAGGUGCUGCAUGGCUGUCGUCAGCUCGUGUCGUGAGAUGUUGGGUUAAGUCCCGCAACGAGCGCAACCCUUAUCAUUAGUUGCUACGCAAGGGCACUCUAAUGAGACUGCCGGUGACAAACCGGAGGAAGGUGGGGAUGACGUCAAGUCCUCAUGGCCCUUAUGGGUAGGGCUUCACACGUCAUACAAUGGUCGGUACAGAGGGUUGCCAAGCCGCGAGGCGGAGCCAAUCCCACAAAGCCGAUCGUAGUCCGGAUUGUUCUCUGCAACUCGAGAGCAUGAAGUCGGAAUCGCUAGUAAUCGCAGGUCAGCAUACUCGCGGUCGAAUACGUUCCGGGCCUU